UACGGGGGGAGCAAGCGUUGUUCGGAUUUACUGGGCGUAAAGGGCGCGUAGGCGGCGCAAUAAGUCAUUUGUGAAAUCUCCGGGCUUAACUCGGAAAGGUCAAGUGAUACUGUUGUGCUAGAGUGCGGAAGAGGCAACUGGAAUUCUCGGUGUAGCGGUGAAAUGCGUAGAUAUCGUGAGGAACACCUGCGGCGAAGGCGGGUUGCUGGGCCGUCACUGACGCUGAUGCGCGAAAGCCAGGGGAGCAAACGGG
RNAcentral lists this ribosomal RNA (253 nucleotides) under uncultured bacterium. Its description in RNAcentral is "partial 16S ribosomal RNA". It matches the Rfam family "Bacterial small subunit ribosomal RNA", at positions 524 to 776 of the family's 1533-position model. The record is from RNAcentral.